This 221-nucleotide long non-coding RNA is filed under the name Elaeis guineensis (African oil palm). Its description in RNAcentral is "long non-coding RNA (EGUI_LNC047019)". The record is from RNAcentral. Lineage: Eukaryota; Viridiplantae; Streptophyta; Magnoliopsida; Arecales; Arecaceae.
ACAUGAGGCUGCAACAAAAUCGAAGGUUCAUCAAAUGAAGAUCCGCUCGAAGUGCUAGCUUCUUGCAGAUCCCUACGGAUGAUUAAUCUAAAAAAAAUAUUCUUCGGAUCUCUUGGAUAUUCCAUGAGAUGAAGAAUAUGAGGAGGAAUGAGGGAGAAGUCAAACCUUUUGACCUCUCUAAAAUUAGAAAUAAAAUAUAAUAGAAAAGAUCCUAAGAGAAG